UGGGGAAUUUUGGACAAUGGGGGAAACCCUGAUCCAGCCAUCCCGCGUGUGCGAUGAAGGCCUUCGUGUUGUAAAGCACUUUUGGCAGGAAAGAAACGUCAUGGGUUAAUACCCCGUGAAACUGACGGUACCUGCAGAAUAAGCACCGGCUAACUACGUGCCAGCAGCCGCGGUAUUACGUAGGGUGCAAGCGUUAAUCGGAAUUACUGGUCGUAAAGCGUGCGCAGGCGGUUCGGAAAGAAAGAUGUGAAAUACCAGAGCUCAACUUUGGAACUGUAUUUUUAGCUACCGGGCUAGAGUGUGUCAGAGGGAGGUAGAAUUCCGCGAGUAGCAGUGAAAUGCGUAACUAUGCGGAGGAACACCGAUGGCGAAGGCAGCCUCCUGGGAUAACACUGACGCUCAAGCACGAAAGCGUGGGGAGCAAACAGG
This 429-nucleotide ribosomal RNA is filed under the name Acidobacteriota bacterium. Its description in RNAcentral is "Acidobacteria bacterium partial 16S ribosomal RNA". It matches the Rfam family "Bacterial small subunit ribosomal RNA", at positions 355 to 776 of the family's 1533-position model. The record is from RNAcentral. Lineage: Bacteria; Pseudomonadati; Acidobacteriota.